UGGGGAAUAUUGGGCAAUGGGCGAAAGCCUUACCCAGCAAUGCCGCGUGAUUGAAGAAGGUCUUCGGAUUGUAAAGGUCUUUUAUUGGUGACGAAAAAAAUGACGGUAGCCAAUGAAUAAGCCCCGGCUAACUACGUGCCAGCAGCCGCGGUAAUACGUAGGGGGCGAGCGUUGUCCGGAAUGACUGGGCGUAAAGGGUGUGUAGGCGGUUUUGCAAGUUGAAAGUGUAAUACCGGGGCUUAACUCCGGUGCUGCUUUCAAAACUGUAAGACUUGAGUGCAGUAGAGAAGGGCGGAAUUCCUAGUGUAGCGGUGGAAUGCGUAGAGAUUAGGAAGAACACCAGAGGCGAAGGCGGCUCUUUGGACUGUAACUGACGCUGAGGCACGAAAGUGUGGGGAGCAAACAGG
This 407-nucleotide ribosomal RNA is filed under the name uncultured bacterium. RNAcentral's name for it is "bacterial SSU rRNA". It matches the Rfam family "Bacterial small subunit ribosomal RNA", at positions 355 to 776 of the family's 1533-position model. The record is from RNAcentral.